Molecule: ribosomal RNA, 490 nt
Filed under: uncultured bacterium
Lineage: Bacteria
Description: partial 16S ribosomal RNA
Rfam family: Bacterial small subunit ribosomal RNA
Source: RNAcentral
AUUGAACGCUGGCGGCAGGCCUAACACAUGCAAGUCGAACGGUAACAGGAAGCAGCUUGCUGCUUCGCUGACGAGUGGCGGACGGGUGAGUAAUGUCUGGGAAGCUGCCUGAUGGAGGGGGAUAACUACUGGAAACGGUAGCUAAUACCGCAUAAUGUCGCAAGACCAAAGAGGGGGACCUUCGGGCCUCUUGCCAUCCGAUGUGCCCAGAUGGGAUUAGCUUGUUGGUGGGGUAACGGCUCACCAAGGCGACGAUCCCUAGCUGGUCUGAGAGGAUGACCAGCCACACUGGAACUGAGACACGGUCCAGACUCCUACGGGAGGCAGCAGUGGGGAAUAUUGCACAAUGGGCGCAAGCCUGAUGCAGCCAUGCCGCGUGUAUGAAGAAGGCCUUCGGGUUGUAAAGUACUUUCAGCGGGGAGGAAGGGAGUAAAGUUAAUACCUUUGCUCAUUGACGUUACCCGCAGAAGAAGCACCGGCUAACUCCGUG